Long non-coding RNA from Gallus gallus (chicken), 1187 nucleotides. RefSeq lists it as uncharacterized. NCBI's taxonomy places the organism in Eukaryota, Metazoa, Chordata, Aves, Galliformes, Phasianidae. The record is from RefSeq and is a predicted model, not a curated record. The transcript has 2 exons.
GGCACAGCGCUGAGGGGACGGGGCCGGCCUGAGGUGAGGCCUACAGGCCGCACUGAAGCCUGGGGAGGCUCCUAUGUCACCACCACAGCCAGACCUGCCUCCUGCACACGGGCUGCCAAUGAGUUGGGGCUCUGUCUGCGCCCCUCAGUUCUGCACACCCGGCUCAGCUGCAGGAAGGAGACAAGCCGCCAGCCCAGAGAUCCCUGCCAGAUUGUGGUCACAACAGCAGCAAAGCCACGCUCCCAAACCAGGAAGGAGGGAAGCAGAUUUGGGUGCUCAUACUGGCAGCACUGGUUUGUGCAAGGAAAGCUGCCUCCUUUGAGGAGGAGAGACAGUGCAGUUGUGUCUGUCGUGGCUUACGAAGUCUAUACGUCGACUUCAUUUUAAAAUCAGUAUCUUCCCCGUGUUUAAAUAUCUGCCAGCGCUAAACUUCUAUACUUAAAAAAAUAUAUAUCCCAUAUGUGGAUUUCACUAGUGAAAUGCACCGAGACCCACCCCGGCCCCUGCCCUUCUCUCUUGCACGCGCACACCAACACACACACAGAGCAGCUCUAUCCAAUACUGGUUUGGUACUUAAGAUGUUUUCUCCAAUACUGAGAGGGAAAAAUACACGAGCACAAUCAACCUCAGCUAAGUAGCUCAGCAACACCUCCCAAAAGCGAAGGUCCUUGGAGCUGGAAGACUAGGUGGAUAAAAACUACCCACCGGAACAAAAACAUUAAAAAAAUUAAAAACUAUAUAAUAUAUAUUUAUAUAUCUCAACAGACUGCUUAUACCUCAGUUGUGUGAAGCACAAAAACACGCACGCUGCCGCUGCUUUUUCCUCUCAGAUUGUGAAGCCAAUCACAACAAGGUGGGACGCACUCCCUCUCUUCAUCCCCCAAUGCUGCAUGCUGCACGGUGCAUCUCAGACCAGGGACAGGGCUGUGGAUGAGCGAGUGUCUUCCUCCAGUAAGAACAAAGACAUCAUUUUUAUUUACAAAAAAAGGAGAAAAAAGUUUCCACACAAAAGCACUACAAUGAUAACUCCCUUUGGUAAAAAGUGUAAUAAAUGUCCUCAUAGGUCUGUCUGUCGGUACUAAUUCUCAAGCCACCUGGUACUAUGGUACACAAGAAGCUAGUACAGUUAUGCUAGCACAUCAAGCAUACUUCCUUUAAUUAAAAAAAAAAAAAACAAAAAAUUGACA